RNAcentral lists this ribosomal RNA (581 nucleotides) under uncultured bacterium. RNAcentral describes it as "partial 16S ribosomal RNA". It matches the Rfam family "Bacterial small subunit ribosomal RNA", at positions 355 to 932 of the family's 1533-position model. The record is from RNAcentral.
UGGGGAAUUUUGGACAAUGGGCGAAAGCCUGAUCCAGCAAUGCCGCGUGUGUGAAGAAGGCCUUCGGGUUGUAAAGCACUUUUGUCCGGAAAGAAAUCCUUGGCUCUAAUACAAUCGGGGGAUGACGGUACCGGAAGAAUAAGCACCGGCUAACUACGUGCCAGCAGCCGCGGUAAUACGUAGGGUGCAAGCGUUAAUCGGAAUUACUGGGCGUAAAGCGUGCGCAGGCGGUUUGCUAAGACCGAUGUGAAAUCCCCGGGCUCAACCUGGGAACUGCAUUGGUGACUGGCAGGCUAGAGUAUGGCAGAGGGGGGUAGAAUUCCACGUGUAGCAGUGAAAUGCGUAGAGAUGUGGAGGAAUACCGAUGGCGAAGGCAGCCCCCUGGGCCAAAUACUGACGCUCAUGCACGAAAGCGUGGGGAGCAAACAGGAUUAGAUACCCUGGUAGUCCACGCCCUAAAACGAUGUCAACUAGUUGUUGGGGAUUCAUUUCCUUAGUAACGUAGCUAACGCGUGAAGUUGACCGCCUGGGGAGUACGGUCGCAAGAUUAAAACUUAAAUGAAUUGACGGGGUCAUAGCUG